Molecule: ribosomal RNA, 514 nt
Filed under: uncultured archaeon
Lineage: Archaea
Description: bacterial SSU rRNA
Rfam family: Archaeal small subunit ribosomal RNA
Source: RNAcentral
AAACUUUACAAUGCGGGAAACCGCGAUAAGGGGAUACUGAGUGCCAGCAUCUUAUGUUGGCUGUCCGCAUGUAUAAAUAGCAUGUGUUAGCAAGGGCCGGGCAAGACCGGUGCCAGCCGCCGCGGUAACACCGGCGGCCCGAGUGGUGGCCACUAUUAUUGGGUCUAAAGGGUCCGUAGCCGGUUUGAUCAGUCUUCCGGGAAAUCUGACAGCUCAACUGUUAGGCUUCCGGGGGAUACUGUCGGACUUGGGACCGGGAGAGGUAAGAGGUACUACAGGGGUAGGAGUGAAAUCUUGUAAUCCUUGUGGGACCACCAGUGGCGAAGGCGUCUUACCAGAACGGGUCCGACGGUGAGGGACGAAAGCUGGGGGCACGAACCGGAUUAGAUACCCGGGUAGUCCCAGCCGUAAACGAUGCUCGCUAGGUGUCUGGGACGGUGCGACCGUUUCAGGUGCCGCAGGGAAGCCGUGAAGCGAGUCACCUGGGAAGUACGGCCGCAAGGCUGAAACUUAA